This 70-nucleotide transfer RNA is filed under the name Diadema antillarum. Its description in RNAcentral is "tRNA-Lys". It matches the Rfam family "tRNA". Rfam says of the family: Transfer RNA (tRNA) molecules are approximately 80 nucleotides in length. Their secondary structure includes four short double-helical elements and three loops (D, anti-codon, and T loops). The record is from RNAcentral. Lineage: Eukaryota; Metazoa; Echinodermata; Echinoidea; Diadematoida; Diadematidae.
CCUUAAUUAGCUUACUAAAAGCUUUAAACUCUUAAUUUAAAAGACAGUAGUUAAACUCUACUAUUAAGGA